CCUACGGGAGGCAGCAGUGAGGAAUAUUGGUCAAUGGGCGUAAGCCUGAACCAGCCAAGUCGCGUGAAGGAUGAAGGUUCUAUGGAUUGUAAACCUCUUUUAUAAGGGAAUAAAGUGUGGGACGUGUCCUAUUUUGUAUGUACCUUAUGAAUAAGGAUCGGCUAACUCCGUGCCAGCAGCCGCGGUAAUACGGAGGAUCCGAGCGUUAUCCGGAUUUAUUGGGUUUAAAGGGUGCGUAGGUGGCUUUUUAAGUCAGCGGUGAAAGUUUGUGGCUCAACCAUAGAAUUGCCAUUGAAACUGGUGGUCUUGAGUAUGUUUGAGGCAGGCGGAAUGCGUGGUGUAGCGGUGAGAUGCUUAGAUAUCACGCAGAACCCCGAUUGCGAAGGCAGCCUACGAAGCCAUGACUGACGCUGAUGCGCGAAAGCGUGGGGAUCAAACAGGAUUAGAUACCCUUGUAGUC
This 460-nucleotide ribosomal RNA is filed under the name uncultured bacterium. RNAcentral's name for it is "partial 16S ribosomal RNA". It matches the Rfam family "Bacterial small subunit ribosomal RNA", at positions 338 to 795 of the family's 1533-position model. The record is from RNAcentral.